Molecule: non-coding RNA, 69 nt
Filed under: bovine gut metagenome
Description: Cyclic di-GMP-I riboswitch
Rfam family: c-di-GMP-I riboswitch aptamer
About the family: GEMM was predicted in a large-scale screen for bacterial structured RNA regulatory elements. Genes associated with GEMM are involved in a diverse array of functions, including chemotaxis regulation, signal transduction, secretion and chitin.
Source: RNAcentral
UUAUAGGCAAAACUGUCGAAAGGCAGCGACGCAAAACUACAGGGUCCCGAAGAGAGACAGCCAGUUGCA